UGGGGAAUAUUGGACAAUGGGGGCAACCCUGAUCCAGCAAUGCCGCGUGUGUGAAGAAGGCCUGCGGGUUGUAAAGCACUUUUAGUGGGGAGGAAAGGAUGAUGUCGAAUAGGCAUUAUCUGUGACGUUACCCACAGAAACAGCACCGGCUAACUCUGUGCCAGCAGCCGCGGUAAUACAGAGGGUGCAAGCGUUAAUCGGAAUUACUGGGCGUAAAGAGCACGUAGGUGGUUGUGUAAGUCACUUGUGAAAUGUCUGGGCUUAACCUGGACCUGUCGAGUGAAACUGCACAGCUUGAGUUCUGUAGAGGAUAGUGGAAUUUCUGGUGUAGCGGUGAAAUGCGUAGAUAUCAGAAGGAACACCCGUGGCGAAGGCGGCUAUCUGGACAGAAACUGACACU
RNAcentral lists this ribosomal RNA (400 nucleotides) under uncultured bacterium. Its description in RNAcentral is "partial 16S ribosomal RNA". It matches the Rfam family "Bacterial small subunit ribosomal RNA", at positions 355 to 747 of the family's 1533-position model. The record is from RNAcentral.